This 478-nucleotide ribosomal RNA is filed under the name uncultured bacterium. Its description in RNAcentral is "partial 16S ribosomal RNA". It matches the Rfam family "Bacterial small subunit ribosomal RNA", at positions 28 to 523 of the family's 1533-position model. The record is from RNAcentral.
GGCGAACGCUGGCGGCGUGCUUAACACAUGCAAGUCGAACGGUAAGGCCCUUCGGGGUACACGAGUGGCGAACGGGUGAGUAACACGUGGGUGAUCUGCCCUGCACUUCGGGAUAAGCCUGGGAAACUGGGUCUAAUAUCGGAUAGGACCCUGGGAUGCAUGUCCUGGGGUGGAAAGCUUUGGCGGUGUGGGAUGGGCCCGCGGCCUAUCAGCUUGUUGGUGGGGUGAUGGCCUACCAAGGCGACGACGGGUAGCCGGCCUGAGAGGGUGACCGGCCACACUGGGACUGAGAUACGGCCCAGACUCCUACGGGAGGCAGCAGUGGGGAAUAUUGCACAAUGGGCGCAAGCCUGAUGCAGCGACGCCGCGUGAGGGAUGACGGCCUUCGGGUUGUAAACCUCUUUCAGCACCGACGAAGCGCAAGUGACGGUAGGUGCAGAAGAAGGACCGGCCAACUACGUGCCAGCCGCCGCGGUAA